This 460-nucleotide ribosomal RNA is filed under the name uncultured bacterium. Its description in RNAcentral is "partial 16S ribosomal RNA". It matches the Rfam family "Bacterial small subunit ribosomal RNA", at positions 338 to 795 of the family's 1533-position model. The record is from RNAcentral.
CCUACGGGGGGCAGCAGUGAGGAAUAUUGGUCAAUGGACGAGAGUCUGAACCAGCCAAGUAGCGUGAAGGAUGACUGCCCUAUGGGUUGUAAACUUCUUUUAUAUGGGAAUAAAACGUUCCACGUGUGGGAUUUUGUAUGUACCAUAUGAAUAAGGAUCGGCUAACUCCGUGCCAGCAGCCGCGGUAAUACGGAGGGUCCGAGCGUUAUCCGGAUUUAUUGGGUUUAAAGGGAGCGUAGGUGGAUUGUUAAGUCAGUUGUGAAAGUUUGCGGCUCAACCGUAAAAUUGCAGUUGAAACUGGCAGUCUUGAGUACAGGAGAGGUGGGCGGAAUUCGUGGUGUAGCGGUGAAAUGCUUAGAUAUCACGAAGAACUCCGAUUGCGAAGGCAGUUCACUGGACUGCAACUGACACUGAGGCUCGAAAGUGUGGGUAUCAAACAGGAUUAGAUACCCGUGUAGUC